This 3064-nucleotide long non-coding RNA is filed under the name Oryza sativa (Asian cultivated rice). RNAcentral's name for it is "long non-coding RNA (OSAT_LNC000578)". The record is from RNAcentral. Lineage: Eukaryota; Viridiplantae; Streptophyta; Magnoliopsida; Poales; Poaceae.
UUUUAUCUUUUUUGUAUCGUGGGUCGUCAAAAUAAGCAACUAUAGUAUUUCUACGUAAAACACCCAUAAAGGGUAUUUCAAUCGAAAUCCCAAAACAGGAUAUUGGUUCUUUCUCUUGUUCUUGAUGAUACUAUAAUGGAAUGGCGAACCUAUUUCUUCGCUUUUUUGCUAACAAAUCCAAAUUAUUUUGAAGAAUAGAAGGAUAGACAAAAUUCCAAUGACCAUUGGACAUGAUUCGAUCCGGCAUUGAAUAAUCAAGAAUUUCCCUAUCUUUUUUACCAAAAGUAUCCAACAGUCUAUGUCUUACCUCAUCAUCAGCCAUCGAGAGGCCAAAGAUAUACCUUCCGUCAACAGAAAAGGAAUAAGUAUUCAUUUGAUCUUGAUCCUUGUGGAGUGAAAAAGAAGCUAUUACUAAACAACGACAAAAUUUUUUAUUUGAGCUAUAUCCUGCCAUAAGAAGACCAAUAGGAGCAAUACUUGAAAUGGCAAUCCAUAAAAAAACACCAAUACUAAGAUCCGCUAAAACAAAGCGAUAUCCCAAAGGAAUAACUAAAAAACUUAAUAAAAUUGAUAUGACUGCUAUAGACGGUCCAAUGCUAAAUAAGGGAAUAUCCCCUCGGGAUGGCAAGAUAUCCUCUUUAAAAAGUAGCUUAGUUCCAUCUGCUAUAGCUUGAAGCAGUCCCAGGGGGCCAGCAUAUUCAGGACCAAUACAUUGUUGUAUCGAUGCGGAUAUUUCUCUUUCUAACCACACAAUUACGAGUACUUCUAUUGUGAUUCCCAGUAAGAGGGUCAAAAUGGGUAGAAUCCAUAUCAGUCCAUAGACUUCUUUUAAUAAUUCCAAGUUCGAAAAAGAAUUGAUAGCUUCUACCUGUACCCUGUCUAUUAUCAUUUCAACGAUCAACUUCUCCCAUAAAAGGAACGUCCGCUCUCACAAUUCCCUCUUCAUCUACCAAAACAACCGGAAAUGUUUCAAAAAAAAGUAGGCAUACGGCGUACAAAAAGUUCGCGCCCUUCUUUAUCUCUAAAGAUAGGAUGUCCUAACCAUCCAACAGCUAUUCCAUCCCCAUUGUCCAUUGAGCCUGCUCUGAAUAAUCCCCCCUUUGUGGGCCUACAGCGGUUGAAUCCACCUACCUAUGAAGUCGGCAGCGACUUCGUACCCCGACAACCCCCGUUCUCGGAGAUUAUCGAUGAUGUCGAUAAAAGACGGGAGUUAGGGCGGGUUUGGCGGCCUACUCCGGGAUUUUUUCUGGCUGACCUUCAGGGACAACAAGGACGGGAUCCGAGUUCUCUAUUUGAAGGUAGAACCAUCUCGUCCACCACUUGCUGCGAGAAGAGGGGCACUGGAAGGGGAUGUAACGCGACUUCAAGCUAUCCCGAAGUCAGAAUCCAACACAUCCAGAUACCCUGCUAGAUUCCAUCAAGCAGCUCAUAGUAAAAACAGAAGAGGUCAAGAAAGGGCUCUACCCCAAUGUAGGCCUCGCAAAGGUGAGAGAAGGCACUCAGAAAGGCGAUAGAGUUGGGGUUCAAGUGGAGCAAAGAAAGGCCAUAGAAAUUCAGGACAAGAAGAAGAAACUUGGAAGGCGGAGGAAGAAAACCGCAAGAAAUGUAAUCCUCGACUACAACCAUGCGGCCCAAGAUGGGUUUAGGUUCUUUACCUCAUGCCUCCCUCUGCAUGGUCCUGCGACCAGGGAGGGCACCGUCGUCUUGCAGCUUCUUCAAGGACGCGGUGGUUGAGGUAGACUUCUCAAGAUCCAUCGCCGCCAGAGGAUCGCCGGAGAACAAGAGGAAAGAAGGAAGCUAGGGUUUUCUUUGCAGAGAGCGGAGAAGACGAAGGGCGCUAGAAGGCAAGAGUGUUUUCUGGCAAACGGACUUUAAAUGAAUUCCCAAAAUCCCUUCAAAUAAGCGCACUACCGACGGCGCGUAUUCCAAGGAAAGGAGAGAGUUUGCCGCCGGAAAAUUCUGGGUCCGUUGCGCGCGGUAGUUUUCAGACUUCAAUUUAAAUUCACUCAUGACCGUUGAACUUCACGCGGUGUUGUCGAUGGCUUUUGUCUCUACGGUUUUCACACCGAGAUCGACCAGAUGAGAGCGACAACAAUUCCGACAUCAGAAGUCGUGAUCGAUAACAUGAGUUCAUUUAAGCAGAAGUCGGGGGCUACUGUCAGGGUUACGGAUAAGGUAUACCCUCUAUCCUUGGAUGUUCGUUGUAUACUGACACGGUGUACCCACGCGUAUACGGAUAGUUUCCGUAUACAUUAAGGAAAUAUGUCACGUGGUAGAUAUGGUAUCUAUAGACGGAAGAAGUUCUACUCGGAUAAUACUGGGUCUUUUCCAUAUCGCGAGGGGUCCGAUAUCUCCGAGUCCCACCUGGAGAUCAACUGGCCCGCGGUAUAUAAGGGACCCCCCGGGUAGGACCUAAGGCAUCGAAUAUUACCGCCUACACAUCCACCACAGCCUACGAAGUCGGAGCCUACAGGAGCCAAGUCGCCGGAAGAUCUAGUCGAACCAACUCAACUACGGUCUCAUCGGUAUCAUUAAGUUCUGUUAUUCCCUUUGUAAUCUGUGGUUUCCAUCAUAUAAUCCCAUAUCAACUGGAUUAGGGCUAUUACCUACUAAGGGGCCUAAACUAGUAUGACCCUUGUCUUUUGUUUGCUUGAUAUCGUACUAUGUAGAUCCUCGUACCAACGAACCCCAAUACCCUCUAUAUCCGGUCUACGGGUAUCCCCCGUCGACAAUGUGUAUGACUGCCUUUCAUUAUAUUGAGCUUUACCAAAUUAUAGUGACUCGUGUUAGAUGUCUCUCAUGCUCUCUCAAUCAAGGUUGCACAACCAUUAUGCUAAGUUUCUACUCUGGAACUUAGCAUCAUUUCAUCCAUUUCCACUACCACCGAAAAAAGAAAAAUAUAGUUGAUGAAUAAAUUCUCCAUUUAGUUUAUGCCUUCUUCUCCUAAGAAAAAUCCUUGAAAAAGAAAAAUAAAAGUAGGGAAAGGCGUGGCUAUAAAAAAUAUAAUACUUUUCUAAAAUGUGGAGCAAUUUGAAAAAAAAAAACAGAGAGAAAAAGAAAAAAA